This 21-nucleotide ribosomal RNA is filed under the name Capnobotryella sp. MA 4917. Its description in RNAcentral is "18S ribosomal RNA". The record is from RNAcentral. Lineage: Eukaryota; Fungi; Ascomycota; Dothideomycetes; Mycosphaerellales; Teratosphaeriaceae.
CGUAGGUGAACCUGCGGAGGG